This 242-nucleotide ribosomal RNA is filed under the name uncultured bacterium. Its description in RNAcentral is "partial 16S ribosomal RNA". It matches the Rfam family "Bacterial small subunit ribosomal RNA", at positions 524 to 765 of the family's 1533-position model. The record is from RNAcentral.
UACGAAGGGGGCUAGCGUUGCUCGGAAUCACUGGGCGUAAAGGGUGCGUAGGCGGGUCUUAAGUCAGGGGUGAAAUCCUGGAGCUCAACUCCAGAACUGCCUUUGAUACUGGACGAUCUUGAGUUCGGGAGAGGUGAGUGGAACUGCGAGUGUAGAGGUGAAAUUCGUAGAUAUUCGCAAGAACACCAGUGGCGAAGGCGGCUUUCUGGACUGUAACUGACGCUGAGGCAUGAAAGCGUGGG